AUGAACUCUGCAUGAGGUUGUUGAUCAGCUCUGCAGUGUUGCAUUCUGGGAGUUUCCUAAUUCCACAUAUUUUCUCUGUGCUUUCUCCCUUCCAAGCACUUACUAGGCCAGACCCUGUUUAACUUCUGAGAUCAGACAUGGGGUGCAUUCAGUGUGGUAUGACGACAGACUGCCUGCUUUUACUUCUAAAGAUAUGACAAGCAGUGGCUUCUGAUGGGGAGACAAGGCCACUUUUGACUGACAGUGUCAUCGUACAUCACAGAUAUCAGUGGAAACCAAAGGCUGUCACUUCUUUCCAAACUGCUUCACUGAAGGGGAGAUGUAUAUGCUGCUAGUAUCAUGACACAAAGCACAGUGUCCAUCGAGUUCAGUAUGAAAUCCUGCUAAGAAAAAUCUUCUGGACCCAGGUGAAAGUGCAGGGUGAGCUUGUUGAAAUAACUCCUGCUAACAUGAAGAGCUAUGAACUUCAACCACGAUUGCAUGGAGCCAUCUAAUGAACAAGUGUGGGCUAGGUGUCCACCCAGGCCAGGAUGAAAAUGGCAAGUCGGGCACGUAGAGAAACCGAGAGAACACCAUGGGAAGAUUGGAAUCAUGUAACCAAAGAAAUGCCAAGGGUGACCAGGCGCAGAACUAUCAGAAUUCAGGAAAAAUGAUGGCCCUCCACAGCCCCCAGACUCAACCAGCCUUGUUGACACCAGGCUACAGUAUGGACCUCCAGCAUCCAGAACUGUGGGAUAUGGAGCCUGUGGGUUUGACGCCACAGCAGGACGUGAUGAUCAAGCUGUGCUGUAGAGACGCGUCAUGUUAGUUUCCUUGUCCAGGCUGACACAAACUAGAAACAUCCGGGAAGACGGAAUCUCAAUUGAGCCAUUGCUGCCGUCCGAUUGGCCUGUAGGCAUGUCUGUGGAACUCUUUAAAUUGCUAAAUGAGGUAGGGAGCCCAGCCCACUGUGAUCUGUGUGGUGGUAUUGUGUUCCCCAAAAUAUUGUGCACCCUAAUAAACUUAUCUGGGGUCAGAGAACAGAACAGCCACUAGAUACAGAGGCCAGAAAAUGGUGGCACACACACCUUUAAUCCUAGCAUUCCAAAGGCAGAGAUCCCUCUGGAUCUCUGAAUUUAAAGCCACACUGGAAACAUCCAGGCAUGGUGACCCACGCCUUUAAUCCCAGGGAGUGAUGGCAGAAAGCAGAAAGGUAUUUAAGGCUUGAAGACCAAAAACUAGAAGCUUUUGGCCUGGUUAAGCUUUUAGGCUUUUGAGCAGCAGUUCAGCUGAGAUCCAUUUGGAUAAGGACUCAGAGGCUUCCAGUCUGAGGAAACAGGAUCAGCUCAGGAAUUGGCAAGGUGAGGUUAGCUGUGGCUUGUUCUGCUUCUCUGAUCUUCCAGCAUUCAACCCAA
Long non-coding RNA from Peromyscus eremicus (cactus mouse), 1394 nucleotides. RefSeq lists it as uncharacterized. NCBI's taxonomy places the organism in Eukaryota, Metazoa, Chordata, Mammalia, Rodentia, Cricetidae. The transcript has 6 exons. The record is from RefSeq and is a predicted model, not a curated record.